UAUCUUUAGGUUAAAUUUGAUGGCUGCUCCUCUUCUGAAUCAUUAAUUUCUGAAGCUUUUGCUUUGGAUUAUCAAUUGUUUUCCUUUUACACUUUGCUGCAUCUUGAUUCUCAUCUAUCAAAAAUAAGUAACUCCCUUUCAGCUGCUUUGGAUUUUCAAUUUUUAGCUUAUUUUCAUUAUUUCUUUAUUUAACGGAGCAACUUUGAUGACACAUCAACAAAAUUCUCUUAUGGAUGGGAUUUAUGGAGAUUUUUGUUGAUGAUUCGAUGGAUCUAAAUCCCUGGUUCAGCUUAUAUGUCCAAGUAAGUACUAAAAACUUAUGCUUGCUCUUUUUAUCCUUUUUCUUCUGUGUUGACCAUGUAUCUGCCUUGUAGGUGUAGAAGGGAGGUAGAUAAAUGGAUGAUCGGACCCACAAACACUUGUACCUGAAGUUGACUCCCAAAUGUACUCAUUACAUAAAAAACCAUUGAUCCUUCAUUACUGUUAAGAAUCCAUUUUGUAGGUCGAAUUUGUACAGAUUAGGCAGAACUUUCUUCUUUUUUAUGGCUUGAUUAAAUGUAAAAAUUGACUUAGAUGCUUUCUUAUAGAUGGU
RNAcentral lists this long non-coding RNA (592 nucleotides) under Capsicum annuum. RNAcentral's name for it is "long non-coding RNA (CANN_LNC012320)". Lineage: Eukaryota; Viridiplantae; Streptophyta; Magnoliopsida; Solanales; Solanaceae. The record is from RNAcentral.